UUGCGUUUUGGCCCCCGGAAUCCUCUGUUCUCUCUCCUCCCUACGCGGCCGAACCGCUCGACCCGACCCGGACCCAUCUCCGGCCUCCGGCGUCCUCCGGCCACGACCCGACCCUCCUUGUGAUCGCCGCAAGCCGCCCAGUCGCCUGGUGCCGCUGCCUUGCACCGCCGUCGUCCCCAGACCUAGAUCGAAGCCCCCCGAAGCUAAAACUCGACCCGACCGGAUUUCCAGUUUUCCGGCAUCACCUCGGCCGAUCCUUCCCAUUUUCGUGAUCUCCUCCUCCCCCUGAUCAUCCUCAUAUCCUCCUUGCACGACGAUUUUGAGUGUAGAGUGAAGGAUCACGAAUUGAAGAUUCGACGUCCCUGAUUCAAUCUGGAAAUCUGAUCAGACGGGUCAGAUUAAUCCAACUUCCAAGCAUGAUCUAGGACGAUCUAGGCCGAACCAGACUUAGCUCCAGGUGAUUGACGGUCUCCCUUGGGUGAGCGAUUUCGGUGUGUAUUGUGUUAAAUUGAAGACGCAGCGGGAAUAUCGAGCGGAUAAUCCUGCAGGUCAGGCAAAUCGUGACGGAGGUCGAGCUAGUUAAGGGUUGCAGCAUUAUUUUAUUCCCUGCUAUUGUGAGGUUGUUAUGCUCAUCUGAGCUUACAUUAUAUUUGGAGAGAGUGUACUGUAAUAAAUAAUCUCCUUGAGAAUUUGGUUAUGUAAUAUUGAGUGGUGUGAGGUGUGGGAUUAUGAAAAAAAUUCUAGUUGAUAUUUAAGUAAGUUGUGUAAUUCACGUUUCGGAUUUUAAUUUGUUAUUUAAAAU
Rosa rugosa (rugosa rose) is the source of this 802-nucleotide long non-coding RNA. RefSeq lists it as uncharacterized. Lineage: Eukaryota; Viridiplantae; Streptophyta; Magnoliopsida; Rosales; Rosaceae. The transcript is spliced from 3 exons. The record is from RefSeq and is a predicted model, not a curated record.